UGAGUUCAUUUAUUUAUAAAAAAAUGCUCUUUUAUUUUCAUUUAUUUUAGGUUUUUUAUAUAUAUGAUUUAUUUGAAGCUAUUUUACAUAUUAUUUAUUUAAAUUUCUUUUAUAUAUUAUUUAUUAUAAACUUAUAUAUAUCUUUAAAAUUUAUAUAUAUAUUUUAAAAACUAUUUUAUAAGUUAUUUUUUUAUAUUAUUUAUUUUAAAUUUUUUUAUUGUUAUUUAUUUUUAUUU
This 236-nucleotide long non-coding RNA is filed under the name Gossypium barbadense (sea-island cotton). RNAcentral describes it as "long non-coding RNA (GBAR_LNC014166)". Lineage: Eukaryota; Viridiplantae; Streptophyta; Magnoliopsida; Malvales; Malvaceae. The record is from RNAcentral.